RNAcentral lists this ribosomal RNA (253 nucleotides) under uncultured bacterium. RNAcentral's name for it is "partial 16S ribosomal RNA". It matches the Rfam family "Bacterial small subunit ribosomal RNA", at positions 524 to 776 of the family's 1533-position model. The record is from RNAcentral.
UACGUAAGGGGCAAGCGUUGUCCGGAAUCAUUGGGCGUAAAGAGCGUGUAGGCGGCCAGAUAAGUCCGCUGUGAAAUCUCGAGGCUCAACUUCGAGCUGUCGGUGGAAACUGUCUGGCUAGAGUCCGGAAGAGGAGAAUGGAAUUCCUGGUGUAGCAGUGAAAUGCGCAGAUAUCAGGAAGAACACCCGUGGCGAAGGCGGUUCUCUGGGACGGUACUGACGCUGAGACGCGAAAGCGUGGGGAGCGAACAGG